GUCUACAGCCAUACCACCCUGAACGCGCCCGAUCUCGUCUGAUCUCGGAAGCUAAGCAGGUUUGGGCCUGGUUAGUACUUGGAUGGGAGAUGACAAACUGGGGGCACCCAUAAGGAACUCAUGAGCACUUCGUAGAAG
RNAcentral lists this ribosomal RNA (138 nucleotides) under Chinchilla lanigera (long-tailed chinchilla). Lineage: Eukaryota; Metazoa; Chordata; Mammalia; Rodentia; Chinchillidae. The record is from RNAcentral.